This 252-nucleotide ribosomal RNA is filed under the name uncultured bacterium. Its description in RNAcentral is "partial 16S ribosomal RNA". It matches the Rfam family "Bacterial small subunit ribosomal RNA", at positions 525 to 776 of the family's 1533-position model. The record is from RNAcentral.
ACGUAGGUGGCAAGCGUUGUCCGGAUUUAUUGGGCGUAAAGGGAGCGCAGGCGGUGACUUAAGUCUGAUGUGAAAGCCCACGGCUCAACCGUGGAGGGUCAUUGGAAACUGGGUCACUUGAGUGCAGAAGAGGAAAGUGGAAUUCCAUGUGUAGCGGUGAAAUGCGUAGAUAUAUGGAGGAACACCAGUGGCGAAGGCGACUUUCUGGUCUGUAACUGACGCUGAGGCUCGAAAGCGUGGGGAGCAAACAGG